CCUACGGGUGGCAGCAGUAGGGAAUAUUGCUCAAUGGGGGAAACCCUGAAGCAGCAACGCCGCGUGGAGGAUGAAGGUUUUAGGAUUGUAAACUCCUUUUGUUAGAGAAGAAUAUGACGGUAUCUAACGAAUAAGCACCGGCAAACUCCGUGCCAGCGGCCGCGGUAAUACGGAGGGUGCAAGCGUUACUCGGAAUCACUGGGCGUAAGGAGUGGGUAGGCGGGGGAUAAGUCAGAUGGGAAAUCCUGUAGCUUAACUACAGAACUGCAUUUGAAACUGUUUCUCUGGAGUGUGGGAGAGGUAGGUGGAAUUCUUGGUGUAGGGGUGAAAUGCGUAGAGAUCAAGAAGAAUACUGAUUGCGAAGGCGGCCUGCUGGAACAUUACUGACGCUGAUGCACGAAAGCGUGGGGAGCAAACAGGAUUAGAUACCCUUGUAGUC
RNAcentral lists this ribosomal RNA (439 nucleotides) under uncultured bacterium. Its description in RNAcentral is "partial 16S ribosomal RNA". It matches the Rfam family "Bacterial small subunit ribosomal RNA", at positions 338 to 795 of the family's 1533-position model. The record is from RNAcentral.